CUCCAGGGGUAUUUCACAUGGGCUCCCAGCCCUCUGCAUGUGCCUGGGCUGUUUCUCAGUUCCAGCCUGUUGAUCCCUGCACUGGCCAAGGGCUGAUGCUUCCCCUGCCAUGCUGACUUCAAGUCAUGCAGACACCUGAUGGAAGAGUCUUCCAGGCAGAAGGAAGGACAAAUACCCUUGAUAUACAUGUACUUGGCCGGCAUGAGGAAGAGCAAUGUGGAAGGAUACAGAUAGUUGGGAACAUAUAGUGCCUGUGAAUGACCAGUAUGCUCACUCCAAUAACAUCAGGCAAGCAAUUCCACAUAAUACUGAAGAAGGCUGUUGAAGUGACUGAAUCUGGCCAAAUAUUCUGAGCGUUUCGGAGGGAUUUUUAACAUUCUAAAUGCUAUCUGGAACAUCGAUGCAGCAUGGGAAGAAGUCACACAGCCAUGCAUGAACAGCAUUUGGAAGAAAGUUUUGAAGACAUAUGUGAACACAUUCAAAAUGUUAACAGAGAUUCUGCCGUAUUCAUAAGCUUGUUGGCAUCGAGGCUGAAGAGCUUUCCAAUGAGAAGCUGGAAAAAGAAAGAAGUAAAGAAGUUGGGGCAAAGAUAGAAGAAAUUGUUCCUGAGGCACCAAGAAAGUUCAUAGCAAAUAAACUGGCAGCGGUGUUUUCUACUAUCAGCAGUGGUGUGUGAAUGUUAGGACAAAUGGGUGACAAUUACAAUUGCUAUCACACACAUAUUGUUCCAUAGUCUCUCCUGUUCUUUGCCAGCCUUAUUACCUUUUCUUUUUUCCCUAUUAAUCCAAGAGCUCUAUGGGAGUAAAAAGGAUGCUCUUCCUUGCAAUGAAGAAAUAUGUAAUGAAAAGAAAAAACAUAUUGUCAAAACUUGGUAUCUACCUGAAGAACACUUUGCCUUCUAAACCAUAAACAAGUGUCAGUGUCCCAGUGCCUUCUGCCAGCUAUUCUCAAGACUCAUCAGAAGAGAGUGAAAUUGAUGACUCUGUAGCUGUAGCAUCCCCAUUAUCAGCACUUAAUUUUAGCUUAAUGCUUUGAACAUUCUUCAGGCUCAGUGUGCUUUCAUCUGUACACAUUAAUGGAAAUCUGGAGAUAGAAAGAUUUGGGUAUUGGUUCAGCAGCUCAAUGAUGCCAGGGCCAGUGUGUUGGCAUUCUUCUGGCCUUAUCCUCAUGGUUGCAAAUUGGUUCCUGCUGUCCCCAGUCAAAGGAGGAAGAAGAGGGAAUUGGCAGCAGUUAUCAGAGCCUUUAUCAGAAAAGCACAGAUUUCCCAGGAAUCCCCAGGAGACUUCUGGUUACAGUCCAUUGGCCAUAAUGUGGUCAAAUGGGCUUCCCUAUCAACAAGGGAGACAGAGAAAUUAAUUUAUUUCUUUGGAAAAUAAGAGAUAUGAUAUGAUCUAUAUCAAUACAGUAAUUAAUUCACCUGCAACAUGAUCGGCGAUGAAUCCUGGACUCGAAUCUUAAGAACCUAAGAAGAUGUGUGCUGGGGCAGACUGAAUCGUGGAAUUGCUUGCCCAGUUGGACUUCGGAUUUAUGACAGUGCUUUUUGGACUUUAAUGUAGAUAUAAAUCACCUGGGGAUCUGUUUAAAAUGUAGUUUCCUGGCCCAGCAGGGCUGUGAA
Long non-coding RNA from Homo sapiens (human), 1615 nucleotides. RefSeq lists it as uncharacterized. Lineage: Eukaryota; Metazoa; Chordata; Mammalia; Primates; Hominidae. The transcript has 6 exons. The record is from RefSeq and is a predicted model, not a curated record.